CUGACUGUGCAAAGGUAGCAUAAUCAGUUGGCUUUUAAUUUGAGUCUGGUAUGAAUGAAAAUAUGGGUAGUAACUGUCUUAACACAUUUAUUUGAAAUUAUUAAACAAGUGCAAAUGCUUGUAGCAAAACAAUAGACGAGAAGACCCUAGAAACUUGCGUUCAGUUUUGUUGGGGCGACAGAGUUACAUUUAACUAACUUUAUAAUACAUGGUAUGAGGUUGUAAGAAUAAGUUACUCUAGGGAUAACAGCAUAAUUUUACUAGUUUGUGACCUCGAUGUUGGACUAGGUACUAUACCCUUAAGGCAGGGGUAU
This 314-nucleotide ribosomal RNA is filed under the name Bradybaena straminea. RNAcentral's name for it is "partial 16S ribosomal RNA". It matches the Rfam family "Archaeal large subunit ribosomal RNA", at positions 2019 to 2637 of the family's 2987-position model. Lineage: Eukaryota; Metazoa; Mollusca; Gastropoda; Stylommatophora; Camaenidae. The record is from RNAcentral.